UAAAAAAAGGUAAGCUACUAAGAGCGAAUGGUGGAUGCCUUGACUGGUAAAGGCGAUGAAGGACGUACUAGACUGCGAUAAGCUACGGGGAGCUGUCAAGAAGCUUUGAUCCGCAGAUUUCCGAAUGGGGCAACCCAAUGUAUAGAGAUAUACAUUACCUAUAUAGGAGCGAACGAGGGGAAUUGAAACAUCUUAGUACCCUCAGGAAAAGAAAUCAAUAGAGAUUGCGUCAGUAGCGGCGAGCGAAAGCGCAAGAGGGCAAACCCAGUGCUUGCACUGGGGGUUGUAGGACUGCAAUGUGCAAGAGCUGAGUUUAGCAGAACAUUCUGGAAAGUAUAGCCAUAGAGGGUGAUAGUCCCGUAUGCGAAAAACAAAGCUUAGCUAGCAGUAUCCUGAGUAGGGCGGGACACGAGGAAUCCUGUCUGAAUCCGGGUCGACCACGAUCCAACCCUAAAUACUAAUACCAGAUCGAUAGUGCACAAGUACCGUGAGGGAAAGGUGAAAAGAACUGAGGUGAUCAGAGUGAAAUAGAACCUGAAACCAUUUGCUUACAAUCAUUCAGAGCACUAUGUAGCAAUACAGUGUGAUGGACUGCCUUUUGCAUAAUGAGCCUGCGAGUUGUGGUGUCUGGCAAGGUUAAGCAAACGCGAAGCCGUAGCGAAAGCGAGUCUGAAUAGGGCGCUUAGUCAGAUGCUGCAGACCCGAAACGAAGUGAUCUAUCCAUGAGCAAGUUGAAGCUAGUGUAAGAACUAGUGGAGGACUGAACCCAUAGGCGUUGAAAAGCCCCGGGAUGACUUGUGGAUAGGGGUGAAAGGCCAAUCAAACUUCGUGAUAGCUGGUUCUCUCCGAAAUAUAUUUAGGUAUAGCGUUGUGUCGUAAUAUAAGGGGGUAGAGCACUGAAUGGGCUAGGGCAUACACCAAUGUACCAAACCCUAUCAAACUCCGAAUACCUUAUAUGUAAUCACAGCAGUCAGGCGGCGAGUGAUAAAAUCCGUCGUCAAGAGGGAAACAACCCAGACUACCAGCUAAGGUCCCUAAAUCUUACUUAAGUGGAAAACGAUGUGAAGUUACUUAAACAACCAGGAGGUUGGCUUAGAAGCAGCCAUCCUUUAAAGAAAGCGUAAUAGCUCACUGGUCUAGUGAUUUUGCGCGGAAAAUAUAACGGGGCUAAAGUAAGUACCGAAGCUGUAGACUUGCACACAACUUAGAUUAUUUAAGUUUAGAAUAUGAGAAACUAAGUUAUAUGUUUAGUUAUAUUUUUACUGAUUUUUAUAGAGUAAAGAUAGAAAUAAAACUUAGUAAAAUCAGUAAAAAUAUUCUUAGGCUAAAGUUAAGUAGUUUAAGUUGUGUGCAAGUGGUAGGAGAGCGUUCUAUUUGCGUCGAAGGUAUACCGGUAAGGAGUGCUGGAGCGAAUAGAAGUGAGCAUGCAGGCAUGAGUAGCGAUAAUUAAUGUGAGAAUCAUUAACGCCGUAAACCCAAGGUUUCCUACGCGAUGCUCGUCAUCGUAGGGUUAGUCGGGUCCUAAGUCGAGUCCGAAAGGGGUAGACGAUGGCAAAUUGGUUAAUAUUCCAAUACCAACAUUAGUGUGCGAUGGAAGGACGCUUAGGGCUAAGGGGGCUAGCGGAUGGAAGUGCUAGUCUAAGGUUGUAGGAGGUUAUACAGGCAAAUCCGUAUAACAAUACUCCGAGAACUGAAAGGCUUUUUGAAGUCUUCGGAUGGAUAGAAGAACCCCUGAUGCCGUCGAGCCAAGAAAAGUUUCUAAGUUUAGCUAAUGUUGCCCGUACCGUAAACCGACACAGGUGGGUGGGAUGAGUAUUCUAAGGCGCGUGGAAGAACUCUCUUUAAGGAACUCUGCAAAAUAGCACCGUAUCUUCGGUAUAAGGUGUGGUUAGCUUCGUACUAGGAUUUACUCCGAAAGCGAAGAAACUUACAACAAAGAGUCCCUCCCGACUGUUUACCAAAAACACAGCACUCUGCUAACUCGUAAGAGGAUGUAUAGGGUGUGACGCCUGCCCGGUGCUCGAAGGUUAAUUGAUGGGGUUAGCAUUAGCGAAGCUCUUGAUCGAAGCCCGAGUAAACGGCGGCCGUAACUAUAACGGUCCUAAGGUAGCGAAAUUCCUUGUCGGUUAAAUACCGACCUGCAUGAAUGGCGUAACGAGAUGGGAGCUGUCUCAAAGAGGGAUCCAGUGAAAUUGUAGUGGAGGUGAAAAUUCCUCCUACCCGCGGCAAGACGGAAAGACCCCGUGGACCUUUACUACAGCUUGACACUGCUACUUGGAUAAGAAUGUGCAGGAUAGGUGGGAGGCUUUGAGUAUAUGACGCCAGUUGUAUAUGAGCCAUUGUUGAGAUACCACUCUUUCUUAUUUGGGUAGCUAACCAGCUUGAGUUAUCCUCAAGUGGGACAAUGUCUGGUGGGUAGUUUGACUGGGGCGGUCGCCUCCCAAAUAAUAACGGAGGCUUACAAAGGUUGGCUCAGAACGGUUGGAAAUCGUUCGUAGAGUAUAAAGGUAUAAGCCAGCUUAACUGCAAGACAUACAAGUCAAGCAGAGACGAAAGUCGGUCUUAGUGAUCCGGUGGUUCUGUGUGGAAGGGCCAUCGCUCAAAGGAUAAAAGGUACCCCGGGGAUAACAGGCUGAUCUCCCCCAAGAGCUCACAUCGACGGGGAGGUUUGGCACCUCGAUGUCGGCUCAUCGCAUCCUGGGGCUGGAGCAGGUCCCAAGGGUAUGGCUGUUCGCCAUUUAAAGCGGUACGCGAGCUGGGUUCAGAACGUCGUGAGACAGUUCGGUCCCUAUCUGCCGUGGGCGUAAGAAGAUUGAAGAGAUUUGACCCUAGUACGAGAGGACCGGGUUGAACAAACCACUGGUGUAGCUGUUGUUCUGCCAAGAGCAUCGCAGCGUAGCUAAGUUUGGAAAGGAUAAACGCUGAAAGCAUCUAAGCGUGAAGCCAACUCUAAGAUGAAUCUUCUCUAAGCUCUCUAGAAGACUACUAGUUUGAUAGGCUGGGUGUGUAAUGGAUGAAAGUCCUUUAGCUGACCAGUACUAAUAGAGCGUUUGGCUUAUCUUUAAUAAAGCAU
RNAcentral lists this ribosomal RNA (3073 nucleotides) under Campylobacter jejuni. Its description in RNAcentral is "bacterial LSU rRNA". It matches the Rfam family "Bacterial large subunit ribosomal RNA". Lineage: Bacteria; Pseudomonadati; Campylobacterota; Epsilonproteobacteria; Campylobacterales; Campylobacteraceae. The record is from RNAcentral.